GUGAAUCAUCGAAUUUUUGAACGCAAAUUGCACUUUCUGGUAUUCCGGAGAGUAUGCCUGUUUGAGGGUCAGUAAAUUAAAAAUCGGUGUUGUUGCUGCUGUUCAUGGUGACGCGGCGGAAUUGAGUUGUCUUUCCUUCGGUUAAGAGACUUAAAAUUUUGCAUGAUAUUCGAACUUAUUUAAAUUUCUUACGUACGUUUGAGAGAUCGAAGACUUUAUUUGGUUCGUGCCUCGUC
RNAcentral lists this unclassified non-coding RNA (236 nucleotides) under Glomeraceae sp. RNAcentral's name for it is "partial contains 5.8S ribosomal RNA and internal transcribed spacer 2". The stretch from base 1 to 71 matches the Rfam family "5.8S ribosomal RNA", at positions 84 to 154 of the family's 154-position model. Lineage: Eukaryota; Fungi; Glomeromycota; Glomeromycetes; Glomerales; Glomeraceae. The record is from RNAcentral.